UGACUCAGAAGAAGAGAAAAUAGCCUGUCUUUUACGGAUCCUCAUCGGUGCAAGAUUGAAAGAAGGAAAAAAAAACACUUUUUUUUUACACCCAAAACUCACGAGAUUCACUCUGAAAAAAUAAAUAUAAAGAAACGAUCUUUAUGAUUAUGAAGUUUUAUAAAGAUGGAAGAAAAAGCCAAAGAUUGAAAAUUUUAGUAAACCCAUUUGGUCUUACUAUAUGGGCAAGACUAAGAAAGAAAAAAAAUUGAUGCUUUUAAGUUUUAUCUUUCAUUUUUUUGGGACUAUAUAUUGAUUCCACACACACAUAUGAUGAGUUAGGAGAGUUUUUCUCUCUCUAACUUUUUAUUUGUUGCACCACAGAAAGGAAGGGAGUUGUAUGGGUGAAAAAUGGCACGUGUGAGAGAGUUUUUGGGAGGGGGGAGCACGUGUGAGGGUGGGGACUUGGAGAGACG
RNAcentral lists this long non-coding RNA (455 nucleotides) under Trifolium pratense (red clover). RNAcentral describes it as "long non-coding RNA (TPRA_LNC008388)". Lineage: Eukaryota; Viridiplantae; Streptophyta; Magnoliopsida; Fabales; Fabaceae. The record is from RNAcentral.